This 636-nucleotide ribosomal RNA is filed under the name Trichoderma sp. BAB-3374. Its description in RNAcentral is "eukaryotic LSU rRNA". The stretch from base 214 to 367 matches the Rfam family "5.8S ribosomal RNA". Lineage: Eukaryota; Fungi; Ascomycota; Sordariomycetes; Hypocreales; Hypocreaceae. The record is from RNAcentral. RNAcentral also lists the same sequence under 1 other name.
CGUAGGUGAACCAGCGGAGGGAUCAUUACCGAGUUUACAACUCCCAAACCCAAUGUGAACCAUACCAAACUGUUGCCUCGGCGGGGUCACGCCCCGGGUGCGUCGCAGCCCCGGAACCAGGCGCCCGCCGGAGGGACCAACCAAACUCUUUUCUGUAGUCCCCUCGCGGACGUUAUUUCUUACAGCUCUGAGCAAAAAUUCAAAAUGAAUCAAAACUUUCAACAACGGAUCUCUUGGUUCUGGCAUCGAUGAAGAACGCAGCGAAAUGCGAUAAGUAAUGUGAAUUGCAGAAUUCAGUGAAUCAUCGAAUCUUUGAACGCACAUUGCGCCCGCCAGUAUUCUGGCGGGCAUGCCUGUCCGAGCGUCAUUUCAACCCUCGAACCCCUCCGGGGGGUCGGCGUUGGGGACCUCGGGAGCCCCUAAGACGGGAUCCCGGCCCCGAAAUACAGUGGCGGUCUCGCCGCAGCCUCUCCUGCGCAGUAGUUUGCACAACUCGCACCGGGAGCGCGGCGCGUCCACGUCCGUAAAACACCCAACUUUCUGAAAUGUUGACCUCGGAUCAGGUAGGAAUACCCGCUGAACUUAAGCAUAUCAAUAAGCGGAGGAAAAGAAACCAACAGGGAUUGCCCCAGUAAC